RNAcentral lists this ribosomal RNA (253 nucleotides) under uncultured bacterium. Its description in RNAcentral is "partial 16S ribosomal RNA". It matches the Rfam family "Bacterial small subunit ribosomal RNA", at positions 524 to 776 of the family's 1533-position model. The record is from RNAcentral.
UACGAAGGGGGCUAGCGUUGCUCGGAAUCACUGGGCGUAAAGCGCACGUAGGCGGAUCUUUAAGUCAGGGGUGAAAUCCCAAGGCUCAACCUUGGAACUGCCUUUGAUACUGAAGAUCUUGAGUUCGGGAGAGGUGAGUGGAACUGCGAGUGUAGAGGUGAAAUUCGUAGAUAUUCGCAAGAACACCAGUGGCGAAGGCGGCUCACUGGCCCGAUACUGACGCUGAGGCGCGAAAGCGUGGGGAGCAAACAGG